Molecule: ribosomal RNA, 249 nt
Filed under: uncultured Hyphomicrobiales bacterium
Lineage: Bacteria; Pseudomonadati; Pseudomonadota; Alphaproteobacteria; Hyphomicrobiales
Description: uncultured Rhizobiales bacterium partial 16S ribosomal RNA
Rfam family: Bacterial small subunit ribosomal RNA
Source: RNAcentral
UGGGGAAUAUUGGACAAUGGGCGCAAGCCUGAUCCAGCCAUGCCGCGUGAGUGAUGAAGGCCUUAGGGUUGUAAAGCUCUUUCACCGGAGAAGAUAAUGACGGUAUCCGCAGAAGAAGCCCCGGCUAACUCCGUGCCAGCAGCCGCGGUAAUACGGAGGGGGCUAGCGUUGUUCGGAAUUACUGGGCGUAAAGCGCACGUAGGCGGAUUAGAAAGUCAGAGGUGAAAUCCCAGGGCUCAACCUUGGACC